RNAcentral lists this ribosomal RNA (253 nucleotides) under uncultured bacterium. RNAcentral's name for it is "partial 16S ribosomal RNA". It matches the Rfam family "Bacterial small subunit ribosomal RNA", at positions 524 to 776 of the family's 1533-position model. The record is from RNAcentral.
UACGUAGGGCGCAAGCGUUAUCCGGAAUUAUUGGGCGUAAAGAGCUCGUAGGCGGUUUGUCGCGUCUGCCGUGAAAGUCCGGGGCUCAACUCCGGAUCUGCGGUGGGUACGGGCAGACUAGAGUGAUGUAGGGGAGGCUGGAAUUCCUGGUGUAGCGGUGGAAUGCGCAGAUAUCAGGAGGAACACCGAUGGCGAAGGCAGAUCUCUGGGCCGUAACUGACGCUGAGGAGCGAAAGCGUGGGGAGCGAACAGG